AUCGAUGUGGUGUAAUUAGUGCAUGGUAAUUUUUCGUAUUACAGGAUUAUAGGGUUAAACUUAGCUUCGGUA
RNAcentral lists this transfer RNA (72 nucleotides) under Apharyngostrigea pipientis. RNAcentral's name for it is "tRNA-Glu". Lineage: Eukaryota; Metazoa; Platyhelminthes; Trematoda; Diplostomida; Strigeidae. The record is from RNAcentral.